This 369-nucleotide ribosomal RNA is filed under the name Triticum aestivum (bread wheat). RNAcentral describes it as "partial small subunit ribosomal RNA". The record is from RNAcentral. Lineage: Eukaryota; Viridiplantae; Streptophyta; Magnoliopsida; Poales; Poaceae.
AUGGAUGCAACAACCGGUAAAAGAAUAAAGAGCAAUGCAGCGAGGAUUGUGCUGCCAAUUUUAGGCUCUAGUGUUCUGGUACUCGUAUGCAUCUCCCUAGCAUGGUUAAAAUUCAGAGGAAAGAACAAAAAUUGGAGAAAUCCAAAUAAGGUAAGAUUGGAUGGUAUGGGAAUCUCUGACGAAUGUGAAGAAGAAAACCCUCCCUAUGAUCAAGCAUUUCCAUUCGUAAAACUAGAAGAAAUUUCCCUCACAACCCAAGAUUUCUCUGAAACCUGGAUGAUUGGAAAGGGAGGUUUUGGUAAAGUUUACAAGGGAGUGUUAGGUGGUCAAGAAGUUGCAAUCAAGAGACUAAGUAGAGAUUCUCGAUAA